Molecule: ribosomal RNA, 387 nt
Filed under: uncultured bacterium
Lineage: Bacteria
Description: bacterial SSU rRNA
Rfam family: Bacterial small subunit ribosomal RNA
Source: RNAcentral
AUUGAACGCUGGCGGCAUGCCUUACACAUGCAAGUCGAACGGCAGCACGGGAGCAAUCCUGGUGGCGAGUGGCGAACGGGUGAGUAAUAUAUCGGAACGUGCCCAGUCGUGGGGAUAACGUAGCGAAAGCUACGCUAAUACCGCAUACUAUCUAUGGAUGAAAGCGGGGGAUCGCAAGACCUCGCGCGAUUGGAGCGGCCGAUAUCAGAUUAGGUAGUUGGUGAGGUAAAGGCUCACCAAGCCGACGAUCUGUAGCUGGUCUGAGAGGACGACCAGCCACACUGGGACUGAGACACGGCCCAGACUCCUACGGGAGGCAGCAGUGGGGAAUUUUUGGGACAAUGGGCGCAAGCCUGAUCCAGCAAUGCCGCGUGCAGGAUGAAGGCC